Molecule: ribosomal RNA, 102 nt
Filed under: Microcebus murinus (gray mouse lemur)
Lineage: Eukaryota; Metazoa; Chordata; Mammalia; Primates; Cheirogaleidae
Source: RNAcentral
GUCUAUGGCCAUACCCACAUACCCAAUCUCUUCUGAUCUUGGAAGCUAAGAAGGGUCGGGCCUGGUUAGUACUUAGAUGGAAGAAAGUAAAAUGUACAGUUA